AAACAAGAAGGAGGGAUUUCCAAGGGAGCAGAGCAUUAAUAAGGUUUUAUCUACUACAAAGGAUAUCACUUGGGAAGGAAUUUCUUGAAACUGCUCCCAAGAGAGCCAUUGGACCAUGUGGUAAACAACUCCUAGCUGAUGGAUUAUUGGGAAUAUUAACAUCAUCCAGAAUGCUAUGGGGAGAAGACAACUGGAAGCUCCGUGUGGACAAACCUCCUGGACUCUGCCCCACAUAUCUCUUCCCUUGGCUGAUUUGAAUUUAAGCUGACAGCUGACACGCCCUUCCUUUGUGCAUUUUAUCCUGGGACAAAAUGAGAAGACAUCCUUCAGUUCCCAUCUUGGAUGGCAUAACUUCAAAACCAAGGGAGAUGGAGGAGUUUUAGAGGAGUAGAAGGCUGCAAGCAAGAACUGAUGCAUUACAUCUCCAGUCACCUCACUCUAAGAUUGUCCUGUAGCUAAGACUGUUGAAUGAGACUGUUGUUCUUCAGUUUGCAGCCACAAAGCACGGAGGCAUCUCCCCAAGAAUCCACUGCAGGGAGGAUGAACAGCCCUUACCUGGAUUUUUGCUUUAUCUAAAAAUAUAUUUGUAGAAGAAGGAGCAUUCUAGUUUCCAAAUACAAAGGGCAAUCUCCUUCUCUGUGUGUGCACGUGCAAACAAACACACUUCUACAAGUAAGCAUUCUUCUUUAUUAUCAUAGUCAUCAUCAUCACUGGGUUGGCAACUAAAAACAAAACUACAAAACUCUCAUGUUAGCAGUUGAGUAACUUUUAAUAACCAGAUACAAACCAUUCUUCAUUGUUUACAAGGGGCAUUAAAAAGAAAAGGAGGUUGAACUGCAAUGUGAAGUGUAGUUAAAUAUGUAGACAUCUUGGAUUCUAGAAGAGUUUGUAAUGGAUUAAAGGGUUAAGCUAUGAAAUUGUUGCCCUCUGUGAUUUUUCCACACUAGAACAGACUGACAUGGUUUGAAGCAGUUGGGCUUUAACCUAUAGAUAGGAGGACAGAGAUGAUUGCCUAUGAAGCAAUUAUUAAAUAGCUGCAUUUUGGCAUGUUCUAGUUGAAAAGAUUUAGUUUUACCUAUAUCACCUCAUCAUCACUAAUUUAAUCAUCCUCAGAAAAUGCAAAAAUAAUGAUGUACAUUUGACAAGUCUUAUACAAAAUUAUGUUUCAUAGCUUUGUGGUCAGAAUUAAGCCAUGUUCUAAAAUACAAAUGAAU
Long non-coding RNA from Homo sapiens (human), 1214 nucleotides. Ensembl annotates it as long intergenic non-protein coding RNA 1915. The record is from Ensembl. Lineage: Eukaryota; Metazoa; Chordata; Mammalia; Primates; Hominidae.